CGCAUGUUUAUACUGCUUACUUGAAACACUUGAUGUUGAUAUUGCAUUUUUGCCUGACAUAAAUUGCUGAAGAUAAAUGAAAAGAAAUCUUGAAAAUCCUUUGUUAAUUGUUAAAAGUGAUUACCUGUUUUACAGUUUUGUGAGUUAGAGCCUGCUAUAUAAAAUCCAUGAUUUCCUCUAUCUGAUACACAUUAUUUUCAUACUCAUACUACACUUCUAUGAAUUUUUGUUGCACAAGUUUAUUGUGUGGCUUGUGGUUUAAUAGCAUAGCGGCAUGGCUGGCACAGAGACUAGGUGAGCUAUAUCUUAUCAAGGAGAUUCCACAGCUAGUAUAGUCUCUCUCUGGACUUCCUUUAUUUUCUACCCAAUUGUAUUCCGGACAGUUAUUGUACUUAUUGGUUUCUCUUAGAAAAUAAUCAUGUACUUAUGACACCGAGUUCUGGGAUGUAUUUAGGUUUAUUCGGAAUUUUAAAGGUUGUUUAAAUGUUUCAUUACUAAAUUCAGAGAAUUAUACUGAGUACUCUUUUAAUCGUAUAAAAGAGAUAUAUUAAAUUUAUUAAAACGAGAAUUCAAUUAAGUAUUUCAGUUGGCUUGCCUGACAGCGCUGUCCGGCGCCACCACGACCCUUAGUGGAUUUUGGAUCGUGAUAGUCCAGGCCUAAGGUCCUGACCAAGACGUUGACUUCCUGAAACUACUUGUGCCAAAGUCGAGAGCACACGAGUCGAGGGUCUCGUUGCUGAGAAUUUACUUAGCCAUUCCUAUAUGAGACAUGAGCGCGGAGAACCAUGAAACGAGUGACACCUCGUGGAUUGGGCCUAUUCAAUCAGGUUGGGAUCGAACUCGUGCCGAUCACAUGGUGAUUGCAGCAGAAUUAAGCCAUGAUAGUUAGACGAGAAACUUACACAAAUGUCACAAAUAAACCUCAACUUACCAACCUCCACCCAUUAAUCAUAGGCUUACCCAAACUAGCCAACAAAAAUUAAAAAACCAAAUAAUAGAGUUCUUUCUCUCAAAUAAUCACAUGCAAAAAUGACCUUCCAUAUAUUUAAGCGUGAUUAGCAACACUAGAUACAAUAUGGAAAGGAAAUUUUAUGGAUGAGGUAGCAAACAAGGUGAUGAAAUACAAAAAAUAUAUACAAUAUUUCAAAAAUCUAAACAAAAAAGACACUUUUUCAAUGGGUAUAGUUGAAAUUCACCGAAAAUAUAUAGAUAAGUCAAUAUACAAUGUUUGAGGAAUAUUGGAGUUGAUUUGGACUGGUUUUGUAUAAAAAUUCGUAAUUAAAUCGAGUUCAAAAAAGUCUUCUGCGACACAUGUAUCAAACAUGUAUCACGCAUGUAUCUAACACACAUGUAUAUAUGGAUAUACAUGCGAUACACAAUAGAUACAAAUAGGAUACAUAUGUGAUACACAAAGAUACACAGUGUGAUCGAAUUUUCAAUUCAACCCACCUCAAAACUUCACCACAUAAUUUCAAAACUAAGAUUUAAUCUCCUUAACUUAUGCCCAAUCUAUUCUAAUAACACCCACUCAAAACAAAGCAAAAGUUUGAUAAUUAUUUUCUACAAAUAAUUAAUUGGCUAAUUUAGCUAAUAUAAGUAAUAUUUUACCCAUUGACCAACUUUUAUAAUGAGCUACCUAUAAAUGGACAUAGCUGGUAAUUUUCCCAGUUGGAACACCCAAAGUAUAAAGUGAAAUAUUUUUUUAAUAAGCAAGAUUAAAAAAAGAAUUUCUUUUAGAAUAUUCAUUAAACUGCUAUCAUGCAACUAUUUUAGAAUUAUUCUUAUAAGCUUUAUAUUUUACAUGCAUUUAGAACCUCUGCUCAUAAUGUUUAUGUUAUUAAAGUUUUUCCUCUUUUGUUGAGACUCAUUGAGUACAAUGGAUGGUAUUGACGUUCUCUUUUGGGAACCUACGUUGGUUUGUGGUACAACGUAGGAACCGAAUUUGCAGGCGAGUAGGCUACGAGUUAGGACUUCCUUCUCUUCCAGUGCUAUUGGUGAGCUCCACUUUUGUUCGUGGAUUUACAGGCGAGCAGGCUACGAGUUAGGACUUCUUUCUCUUUCAGUGAUAUUGUUGAGCUCUGCUUUUGUUCGUGGAGUAUUGCUUAGAGUCAUCUUUAUUUAGUUAUUUCUUUGUUACUUAGAGAACUGACUAGGAAAUCUCAUGUCCUGAGCAGUGCGCCAGUUUAUCAGUAGAGGCUUCAUAGACAUUGUCGUUGGGUUAAGAUUCAGAUGUUUUUGAUAACAACUUAGCUUUAGUUCAUUGGUUAUUAUUAAUAAAGUUUCGGAAGUUGAUUUAUUCAAAUAUUUAAAUUAAUCAAAAGUAUUUGGUUACAGUAUUUCCUUGUUGCAUAAAAAGUUUGGAGUUAUAAUAGAUUUGAUAAGCAGAAAUGGAUCGCUCGGUCAUGUUUAGUAAUCAAGUGCCGAUCCCGGCUUGUUCAGGAAAUGGGUCGUGACAGUUAACCCCUAAACGAGGGUGUCCUCUUUUGUAGGACUUGGUGGAAUGAAGACAGAGUUUAACAAGUUGAUGAUGUUAGGCGGGAGAUCUAUGGAUAAUGUAAAUAAGUCCCAAACUCAUGAAUUGUAGACUAAGUUACCUUGGCAUUUAGGUCAUUUCGGGACAGAGGGCCCUCAAUUAGUUCCCUAAUUGCUGGUUGGUUGGGUAUCCAAGCAUCAUUCAAAAAAUUAACCCUAUUUUCUCGAUGAACUACUCAUCCGCUUGCUUUGCUACAAAUGUUCAAUCCCCUAAGGAUGCACUGCCAUGUAGGGGAUUUGGGGUACCUAGGAUAUCUAGAGGUUCUAAUUAUCCUAUGAGUUGGUAGUUGGUUCACAUAUCAAAUUAAAACUAACAUCUCUAAUUAGGGAUGACAAACGGUCGAGGCGAGUCGGAAUGAGUAAAAAAUGUUUAAUGUAAAAAUGGUUAAAUUAUCUGGUCCGACCCAUAUUUAAUAGGGAUAGAAAAUAGGUUAAUUGACAAAUAAUAUGGAUAUCCAUAUUAUCUAUGACUUAUUGAAUAUGAUUACUUUGGGAGAAUUUCUAGUCUUCCAAAUUUUAAAAACCUACAAUUUAAGUCUUUACAAAUGUAAAAAUAAAUUCCAUUGGCUGUUCAUUUUUUAUGGAUCUUGUCACACCUUCUUGUUCCGCACCCCGAGGGGUGAAAGAGUUUUUUUCAAUUAAAGGACAAUCGAAGGGGAUUUGUUUAUUUAUUUCAAAGUCGCCACUUGGGAGAUUUAGGGUAUCCCAAGUCACCGGUUUUAAUCCACACCCCAACUCACCAGUUUUAAUCCCGAAUCGAGGAAAAUAAUUGACUCUAAAUUACAAUCUGCAUACCAGAUAUCCAGAUAAGGAAUUUUGUUAAACCGGGAGAAGGUGUUAGGCAUUUCCGAAUUCGGUGGUUCUAGCACGGUCGCUCAACUGUUAUAUUCAGCUUAUUUAUCUGAUUUUAGUAAUUAUGCACUUAGUGCAAAUUGUGAGUUGUUACCGCUUUUAUUAUUAUUAUUGUUAUUUUCGAAAAGAAUUACAACAUUGUGAAAACGUAUGUCGAACCACGUCACAACCAGUGUACACAUAGUCGUCGACACAUUUCGACUUCGUUGAGAUUUGGAUUUAGGCUUCAUAGAUGCACACCCGCAUUUAAGGAAGUAAUUUUAUUAAAGACGCUCCCUAAGCGACCAACGUAGCGUUAUUUUGGGCAAGACCGUGAAAUUUUGUUAAACGGCCCAUUCCAGAGUCUAACCUACUUUGUAAAUACGUAUGGAGGGCCCCGCAACUUGCAAUUUAUUAGGCUCGGCUCGGCUCGGCUCAUUUUAUUAUUUGAAAGGCAAACCUAUUGCAACUACGAUAUUUUUUUUACUGUAAGAGGGCCAUGAAAAAUUCAACUAAUGGCACGUCCCCGUUUCUAUAUGGUUAAAAUUAAUUAAGUGAGAGCCAUGAGUUUUCGAAUAAAUUGAUAUGGAAUCAAUAUAUUCUUUUACAUUAUCAAUUUGCAUAUUCUCUAUUUACAUAAUACUAGCCAAAAUAUAUUUACACAGUAACAAAUAUUACCAAGAAACGUUGAUCCACAAUACUAGGAGAGCAAAGAAAAUAAGCUGAAAAUAUUUCAAGUUUACAUUCCACUGCAUAUAUUUAUAUAAAAAAAACGUGAAAAAGGACUAAAAUAUGCAUGAUACACAUGUACAUCAGUGUUUACACGCAACUGCAUAUAUUUUAUAUAAAAAAACGUGAAAAAAGGGACUAAAAUAUGCAUGAUACACAUGUACAUCAGUAUAUGAAGACGUGCCUAUGCGUAUUCAAGGCAUGGAUUCAUUUUUAUUCUAGAAAGAUCAAUAAUUCUACAUGACACAUUCAUUGUUUCAAUCUAUCGGACCACAAUAUCAGAUUAGCAGCACAAAGGAAACAAAAAUAUAGAGAAAUGAGAGACUUACCUAACAAUAAAAAAUAGGUGAAUUUGACGAUCCAAACAAAAACCAACCAUAAGUUGAUAUCCAAUGAACUAGCAGUCAAAUUCAAUUCCCUUUGCACCUCAAUAGCAAAGAAAGUCAGCAAUUACACAUAUCUUGACUCCAAAAUUCGUCCAAGAAAGCAAUAACAAGUUGGACCCAGAACCGCAAACAAAACUUGGCCAAACUGGAAACCUUCGACCGAAGACUGCGAAAUCUCUAAUGGAAAUCUCGAAUGGAACUCAUAACAUGAAUGGCAACCUCAAGAGUGGUUUCAUGGAUGCACAUGCUGGUCGAUUCUGGAGGUUUUGAGACGGGGAGAGGCUGGCGAUGGAGAUUGGAGGAGAAGGAGUGGUCGUUUGGGCUUGAAGAAGAAGAGACAGCGAGCUCACUGUUGCGGGUGGUGUUCAGCUGGUUGUGACUGAUGGUUGCUGGUCGUUUGAGGGCUGUUGGGCUGCUGGACAGCGUUGGAGAAUGAGGAAGGUGACCGGUCUGCUGAGGUUGUUUGGAUGGUGACUGGAGGAGUUUGUUCAAGGGUGAGAUUGUUGUUGGUUAUGAAGAAGACGAAGAAGAACAAUCCUCUCCCCCUCUCCUCAAUGUGUAUGGUCUAUUUUAUUCAAAAUUCCUCACCUUUUUCUUUUUCAUUUGACUAAGUCCCCUUUUCUUAGUAUCCAGCUGCCUCUUUUUAGAAUCUAAGGCGUGCAAAAAAAAUAGUGUUCUGUCCCCAUGCCUGUCAUUAUUGUAGUUCCCUUUUUUUUUAAAGAAUGUUGACCAUCCGUGAAUCCCUCCCCCAAUUGUGUAAUUGUGUCUCCCCUGGUCUCGUGUUACGUAUAAGGUGUGG
RNAcentral lists this long non-coding RNA (5277 nucleotides) under Nicotiana benthamiana. Its description in RNAcentral is "long non-coding RNA (NBEN_LNC017800)". Lineage: Eukaryota; Viridiplantae; Streptophyta; Magnoliopsida; Solanales; Solanaceae. The record is from RNAcentral.